Long non-coding RNA from Amphimedon queenslandica, 355 nucleotides. RefSeq lists it as uncharacterized. Lineage: Eukaryota; Metazoa; Porifera; Demospongiae; Haplosclerida; Niphatidae. The transcript has 2 exons. The record is from RefSeq and is a predicted model, not a curated record.
CAGGCAUAAAACCUAUGAUACAGCCACUGCUAAGCAAACAAAGUUUGAUGAUGAUAUACCAAUGCAAGCCUGUGAACCAUAUGGUAUUCACAAGACUAAAGAUGUUGCAAGGGAGGCAGUAUAUGAGUGUCCUGAUGUCAAUGUUAAUGACACUGCUAUUUAUGAAGAAACAUAACUUAUGAAACAGUAAAAACUAACAGUGCAAUUUAAUAUACAUGUACAUGUACACUAUGUGAUACAACAGUAUACAAUGCUUAUGUACUUGCUUGUUAUGCAUACAUACACUCCUAGAUAUACAUUUUAGUUCUGGAGUGUCACUAGAUUCAUAAUAUCUUAAGGUGGGUUCUCAAUAUGA